GAGGCUACACACGUGCUACAAUGGGCGAUACAGAGUGACGACGAAGCCGCGAGGUGGAGACAAAUCGCGGAAAAUCGCUCUCAGUUCGGAUUGGAGUCUGAAACCCGACUCCAUGAAGGUGGAAUCGCUAGUAAUCGCGCAUCAGCAUGGCGCGGUGAAUACGUUCCCGGGCCUU
Molecule: ribosomal RNA, 175 nt
Filed under: uncultured Spirochaetaceae bacterium
Lineage: Bacteria; Pseudomonadati; Spirochaetota; Spirochaetia; Spirochaetales; Spirochaetaceae
Description: partial 16S ribosomal RNA
Rfam family: Bacterial small subunit ribosomal RNA
Source: RNAcentral